RNAcentral lists this unclassified non-coding RNA (240 nucleotides) under Hevea brasiliensis (rubber tree). Lineage: Eukaryota; Viridiplantae; Streptophyta; Magnoliopsida; Malpighiales; Euphorbiaceae. The record is from RNAcentral.
CUUGAUUAGAUGCACCUAGCUCUCCAGAUUGUCUAGAUGAGCACCCAAAUGCUAUGGACCCAUUCAUGGAUGUGGUUUGAAGAUCCCCAGAGACUUGAUCAAAAUGAAUGAAAUCCCUUACAAAGUAUCCUGAAGUUGAGCUGCCAUCUCCGUAAGUAACCUGAUAUUCACAGGGUGUUCCCACCCUGCAAUCUGAGUAGGGAGCAUUAAACAUAUCAGUGCAGAAGUCUUGGUCGCAAG